UGCCCACCAGCUAGCUCGCACCCCAAAAUGCAACAACUCAAUAUAAAUAACCCCGAAUAACCUUAAAUCUUCUAAACAAACCAUUUUUCCCCCUAAGUAUGGGCGACAGAAAAGGACAUGUCGAAGCAACAGCAACAGUACCGCAAGGGAACGCUGAAAGAGAAGUGAAACAAAUCAGUAAAGCGCAAAAAAGCAGAGCUUGACCCUCGUA
Molecule: ribosomal RNA, 211 nt
Filed under: Ostorhinchus sealei (Seale's cardinalfish)
Lineage: Eukaryota; Metazoa; Chordata; Actinopteri; Kurtiformes; Apogonidae
Description: partial 16S ribosomal RNA
Source: RNAcentral